CUUGCGCUAAUAGAUGAGCCUAAGUCAGAUUAGCUAGUUGGUGGGGUAAAGGCCUACCAAGGCGACGAUCAGUAGCUGGUCUGAGAGGACGAUCAGCCACACUGGGACUGAGACACGGCCCAGACUCCUACGGGAGGCAGCAGUGGGGAAUAUUGCACAAUGGGCGCAAGCCUGAUGCAGCGACGCCGCGUGAGGGAUGACGGCCUUCGGGUUGUAAACCUCUUUCAGCAGGGACGAAGCGCAAGUGACGGUACCUGCAGAAGAAGCACCGGCCAACUACGUGCCAGCAGCCGCGGUAAUACGUAGGGUGCAAGCGUUGUCCGGAAUUACUGGGCGUAAAGAGCUCGUAGGCGGUUUGUCGCGUCUGCUGUGAAAAUCCGGGGCUCAACCCCGGACUUGCAGUGGGUACGGGCAGACUAGAGUGCAGUAGGGGAGACUGGAAUUCCUGGUGUAGCGGUGAAAUGCGCAGAUAUCAGGAGGAACACCGGUGGCGAAGGCGGGUCUCUGGGAAAUAACUGACGCUGAGGAGCGAAAGCGUGGGUAGCGAACAGGAUUAGAUACCCUGGUAGUCCACGCCGUAAACGAUGUCAACUAGCCGUUGGGAGCCUUGAGCUCUUAGUGGCGCAGCUAACGCAUUAAGUUGACCGCCUGGGGAGUACGGCCGCAAGGUUAAAACUCAAAUGAAUUGACGGGGGCCCGCACAAGCGGUGG
RNAcentral lists this ribosomal RNA (711 nucleotides) under Ditylum brightwellii. RNAcentral's name for it is "partial Bacterial small subunit ribosomal RNA". It matches the Rfam family "Bacterial small subunit ribosomal RNA", at positions 212 to 935 of the family's 1533-position model. The record is from RNAcentral. Lineage: Eukaryota; Bacillariophyta; Thalassiosirophyceae; Lithodesmiales; Lithodesmiaceae.